RNAcentral lists this long non-coding RNA (283 nucleotides) under Elaeis guineensis (African oil palm). Its description in RNAcentral is "long non-coding RNA (EGUI_LNC040244)". Lineage: Eukaryota; Viridiplantae; Streptophyta; Magnoliopsida; Arecales; Arecaceae. The record is from RNAcentral.
UCGAAGCCUCGAGUGAGUUUCACUCCAUCAUCAACCUCGCCCCUCAGGCAGCGAGCGAGGUAAGGAGUAUGAACUUGCUUCUAUCUUUUUCUCUUUCAUCUUCUUCUUCCUCGCAAGAUUCAUUUGUGAGUGGAUCUGCAAGCCAUUGAGGAGGAGGAUUGACCAACAUGAUGAGUUGGAUCGAAAGAUCCAGGAGGUGGACUGAUACCUUAAGAUCCUCGGACAGCACCAACUCACCCUAAGAGGAGAGCUUCUAUUCACCACUCGCCCUCCUUUCUUAGAG